This 393-nucleotide ribosomal RNA is filed under the name uncultured bacterium. RNAcentral's name for it is "partial 16S ribosomal RNA". It matches the Rfam family "Bacterial small subunit ribosomal RNA", at positions 523 to 918 of the family's 1533-position model. The record is from RNAcentral.
AUACGGAGGAUGCGAGCGUUAUCCGGAUUUAUUGGGUUUAAAGGGAGCGUAGGUGGGAUAUUAAGUCAGCUGUGAAAGUUUGGGGCUCAACCUUAAAAUUGCAGUUGAUACUGGUUUCCUUGAGUACGGUACAGGUGGGCGGAAUUCGUGGUGUAGCGGUGAAAUGCUUAGAUAUCACGAAGAACUCCGAUCGCGAAGGCAGCUCACCGGGCCGGAACUGACACUGAUGCUCGAAAGUGCGGGUAUCAAACAGGAUUAGAUACCCCGGUAGUCCGCACAGUAAACGAUGAAUACUCGCUGUUUGCGAUACACUGUAAGCGGCCAAGCGAAAGCGUUAAGUAUUCCACCUGGGGAGUACGCCGGCAACGGUGAAACUCAAAGGAAUUGACGGGG